This is a non-coding RNA of Vicugna pacos (alpaca), 380 nucleotides long. NCBI's taxonomy places the organism in Eukaryota, Metazoa, Chordata, Mammalia, Artiodactyla, Camelidae. The record is from RefSeq and is a predicted model, not a curated record.
CUCUCCGCUCGCCGCAGCCGCCUCCGCCGCGGCCUCCGGCAGCUUUAUCGCCAGAGUCGUCGAACUCUCGCUUGCUUUCGAAUCCGCUGCAUCGGAUCACCGGCGUGCCCAUCAUGUCAGACGCGGCCGUGGACACCAGCUCCGAGAUCACCACCAAGGACUUAGAAGAGAAGAAGGAAGUUGUGGAGGAGGCGGAGAAUGGGAGAGAGGCAUCUGCUAAUGGGAAUGCUGAGAAUGAGGAAAAUGGGGAGCAGGAGGCCGACAAUGAGGUAGAUGAAGAAGAGGAAGAAGGUGGGGGGGGGGAAGAGGAGGAGGAAGAGGAAGGUGAUGGUGAGGAAGAGGAUGGAGAUGAAGAUGAGGAGGCUGAGGCAGCUAACGGG